CUAAAUUUCAUAGCAAUUCGAUACCAAAUACAUAGUUCAGUACACACUCGAAAUUACCGAAUACUACAAAAUUGAAUUAACAAUUCAAAAAUAAAAGAAAAUAGGUUUGAAACCCACACCUUAAUUUGCGAUAAAACGCCCCAACAAUCAAUGAACCACAAAGCCAUCACUUGCUGCACAAUUAUAUCUCCCUCAAGAACCCGAAACCAAAUCAAAACAAUGAAACUGCAAUGACGGAAAAGAAAGAAUUUCGUGAGAAGAGAGGGAGAGAGGAGAAAAGAGGAACUUAUAGAGAAACAUUAGGAAACCCUAAAACGUGAAAGAAAACUCCUAUUUUUCCCCUCUUUUUUUCAUAUCAAAAAUAAAAAUAUAAAUAAAAAUAAGAAAAAACAAAUAAAAAAAUCUAACCUUUUAAAACCAGAACAAAGCUAAAUCAAAAUAAUUCCUUCAAAACGCACUUGAGGACUCAAACCCGGAACCCCUAGGCUAAACUAACACACAACCAACCACUAGACCAACAGACCCAUUUUGACACUUGAUUGCAAAAAUAUACACAACAGUUUGAUCUAGCCACUG
Molecule: long non-coding RNA, 576 nt
Filed under: Gossypium raimondii (Peruvian cotton)
Lineage: Eukaryota; Viridiplantae; Streptophyta; Magnoliopsida; Malvales; Malvaceae
Description: long non-coding RNA (GRAI_LNC005659)
Source: RNAcentral